RNAcentral lists this ribosomal RNA (465 nucleotides) under uncultured Klebsiella sp. Its description in RNAcentral is "bacterial SSU rRNA". It matches the Rfam family "Bacterial small subunit ribosomal RNA", at positions 338 to 795 of the family's 1533-position model. Lineage: Bacteria; Pseudomonadati; Pseudomonadota; Gammaproteobacteria; Enterobacterales; Enterobacteriaceae. The record is from RNAcentral.
CCUACGGGGGGCAGCAGUGGGGAAUAUUGCACAAUGGGCGCAAGCCUGAUGCAGCCAUGCCGCGUGUGUGAAGAAGGCCUUCGGGUUGUAAAGCACUUUCAGCGGGGAGGAAGGCGGCGAGGUUAAUAACCUCAUCGACUGACGUUACCCGCAGAAGAAGCACCGGCUAACUCCGUGCCAGCAGCCGCGGUAAUACGGAGGGUGCAAGCGUUAAUCGGAAUUACUGGGCGUAAAGCGCACGCAGGCGGUCUGUCAAGUCGGAUGUGAAAUCCCCGGGCUCAACCUGGGAACUGCAUUCGAAACUGGCAGGCUAGAGUCUUGUAGAGGGGGGUAGAAUUCCAGGUGUAGCGGUGAAAUGCGUAGAGAUCUGGAGGAAUACCGGUGGCGAAGGCGGCCCCCUGGACAAAGACUGACGCUCAGGUGCGAAAGCGUGGGGAGCAAACAGGAUUAGAUACCCCGGUAGUC